RNAcentral lists this ribosomal RNA (465 nucleotides) under uncultured bacterium. RNAcentral's name for it is "partial 16S ribosomal RNA". It matches the Rfam family "Bacterial small subunit ribosomal RNA", at positions 28 to 507 of the family's 1533-position model. The record is from RNAcentral.
GAUGAACGCUGGCGGCGUGCUUAACACAUGCAAGUCGAACGGAAAGGCCCAAGCUUGCUUGGGUACUCGAGUGGCGAACGGGUGAGUAACACGUGGGUGAUCUGCCCUGCACUUCGGGAUAAGCCUGGGAAACUGGGUCUAAUACCGGAUAGGACCACAUUUUGGAUGGUGUGGUGGAAAGUUUUUCGGUGUGGGAUGAGCUCGCGGCCUAUCAGCUUGUUGGUGGGGUAAUGGCCUACCAAGGCGUCGACGGGUAGCCGGCCUGAGAGGGUGUACGGCCACAUUGGGACUGAGAUACGGCCCAGACUCCUACGGGAGGCAGCAGUGGGGAAUAUUGCACAAUGGGCGCAAGCCUGAUGCAGCGACGCCGCGUGGGGGAUGACGGCCUUCGGGUUGUAAACUCCUUUCGCUAGGGACGAAGCGCAAGUGAUGGUACCUGGAGAAGAAGCACCGGCUAACUACGUG